AGUGACAUCAGUUGCUCGCCGCGGGAGGCUGCUGUCGUCAUCAAGCCCCAGACGUCCUCAGCAAGGACAGCCAGGAGCAGUGGGCAGCCCUUUUCUUCAGUUCCAGGCGGACAUGGUCAGGGACAGGACAGCACCACGGAGGCACGGAGG
Molecule: long non-coding RNA, 150 nt
Organism: Lampris incognitus (smalleye Pacific opah)
Lineage: Eukaryota; Metazoa; Chordata; Actinopteri; Lampriformes; Lampridae
Exons: 3
Source: RefSeq, a predicted model, not a curated record